Molecule: transfer RNA, 90 nt
Filed under: Chroococcidiopsis sp. [FACHB-1243]
Lineage: Bacteria; Bacillati; Cyanobacteriota; Cyanophyceae; Chroococcidiopsidales; Chroococcidiopsidaceae
Description: tRNA-Val
Source: RNAcentral
GGAGUAAAAGUAGCGGCAUCACUUAGCUGGUAGGUGUUUCAGCCUACGUUGACAUCGUAGAGGUCACUGGUUCGAAUCCAGUUACGUCCA